This 3485-nucleotide long non-coding RNA is filed under the name Sus scrofa (pig). RNAcentral describes it as "lncRNA (ENSSSCG00000061149.1)". The record is from RNAcentral. Lineage: Eukaryota; Metazoa; Chordata; Mammalia; Artiodactyla; Suidae.
UUUUGGCUUGUGCUUCUGACCUAGUCCCUGGUUCUGACUCUAUUUCAAUUGUCUGUUAGUGCUGUAGCUUCUUCAGCUGGCCCUCAGGCCAUUACCAGCUUCUUUAAUUUUCAUUUAUGGACCACAUUUUUCAAAUACUUCACAUACUCUUGGAUGGAUUUCUUUGUUCUGUGACUAAUUUACUCACCUAAUGUUAAGACUUCUUGCCACUACUUAGAAAUCACAUUGCCAUGCCCCAUUGACUAAUCUUAGAUUGACAAGACUCUUCAAUGUCGAGCCUACAUUAGAUGAAUUUUUCUGCAUUAAUUCUGACUUGCAGUUUGAAUUGUUCCAACCCUUUGUGUCUGCUGAAUAUCCCCAACACCUAGCCUUAAGGGCCUCAUGUAACUUCCCUUUGAAUGAGGUGCUUUUAAGAAGCCUGGUGGCCAUGGCAGCAAAAAAUAUGAGUGGUCUCUGUCUAAACACUUAUAGCUGUGGCCCAUAGACUCCCAUACUGAUCAAUCAUGAAAUACAAUCUAUCCUAGAAAUUAAACACUACACAUACACAUCCCAGUUAAUUUGCUUAUUCUAAUGCUCGAAGUCAAUAACUCCAAUUUUGGGGUUACCCUGGAGGGAUCUUAUGUGGUAUAAACCCCCACUUUCUGGAGAUAUACUCCAAUGGACAAUUCCAGAGUUUGAGAAUUUAGCUUCCAGGGAAGUUCCUGGUUUGUAGAGGAAGCAGAAUGUCCUCUAGGGUUAUAAAACCUUUGGACUGAAGAAUACAUAUCACAGACCUCUGUUAAAUCAGAACGGACAAAUUUGAGAGGACAAUUAAGGGGCUGCUAAAGGAAUUUUUCCACCAUCUUGCUAAAGAUGAUAAUAGGCAAAAAGCCUUUGUAAGCAUAAUUAGUGUCCACCGAGUACUGUCUCAGCCCUUGCUCUAAAUUUGAAAUUUUACCUGUAUUCCCUUCUUUUUCUUAGGCACUGUCCUCAGUCAGACUAAUAUCCCUGUUCUCUUUGUUAUACCCCUGAUUUUAUCUCUCAUAAGUCCUGCUUAUUCUCUUUUGUGAGUACACUACACUUAGCCAUACAAGCUAAAACUGCUGUCUCCACCUCUGGUUGCCUGGCUCUCAACUUAAUCCACUGCUUCUGAUCCUGUAAUUGUAACACCUACGAGAGACCUUGGCUACACCCCUCACAUCAACUCUGACUUAGCCAAAGGACAUUAAAGGUAGCAGGGAUGUAUUAAUAGUCCUAGAUGUCUAUACUUGAAGAUAAUUUAACCUACACUAAGUAUAUUCAAUGGAAGAUAAAAUUUUGGCAAAUAGUUUAUUUUUAAACUAGAAUUUUGUUCAGAUGGUUCCUUAGUUCAAGUUUUUUUUUUUAAUUAAUAAUUCUCUUAGUCAACCAUAUUGUUUUACUACAGUAGAAGCCAUAGCUUUCAGGAUACGGAACAGUUCUAUGAGACUAGGUUCUGCAGAAAAAUCAAAUAUUUUGACUGUUUUUCAUAAAUAUGUAGAGAAUGUGAGGCUUAGACUUUAAAAAACAAAAUGUAGAUACGUUUUUAUAGCAAUCAGUAGAAAUUAAGAAUUCUCAACCCUUUUCACUCCUGUUCUCGUUGAAGAAAUUCUGCUAGGUUAGAAGUUCCGCCAUGAAUAAGAAGACAUUCGGAGCACUCAGAGGACUGACAUACUAGAUAAUUUUUUCCUUUGCUGUUUGGUCCAGGGUCCAUAGAAAAUUGAUGUCCUCUUCUCAGGUAACAUGCUUAUUUUUAUCUACAUGAAAUUCAUUGAUCUCUUUCCAAUUUGGUGUUAGCCUCUUCAUUCCACUAUCAUUCCCGAGGUAACAAAUGAUAUUUUCAUAGGCAUGGCUGGUAAUCAAUAUAGACAAGCUCUGCUCAUUGAUCUGAGGAAGACCUUUGAUCUGGAAAAUCACCAAUUAUGGCUAUUUAAAGUAGGUUCAAUCGGAUUAGGUAGAACAAAAAAGAACUGGUAUCUACAGUAUUCUUUGAUAGUUUUAAAACCUAGAAAGAUAUGAAGUUAACGAUAAGGUCUCUUAAAGAAUAAGGGUUAAUUUUCAUUCUUUCAAUUUUAAAUAAAGAAUUUCCUGCACAUUUCACUUUAUUUCUGAAUUUUUUAUGGCUAUAUAAUGCGAUACUGUUAUAAGGGACAUCCCAGGUACAAGGUAAUUGACGAUUUGCAGUGAGUUUCUGACAACCUUCAAAUCCUAAUUAAUAAAAAUAGAUUCCACUUAAAUAUUGAUAUGCUAAGCAUUAGUCUUAUUUUAACUGAAAAAGGUGGACUCCUGGUCCCAGCAAAUUAAGUCCUUAAUGAUAUGCAGGCUACCUGGUUGAUUGAUCUAUUCCAUUUUUGAGUGGAACUUGGAGUUACUAUUAUUUUCAGGCUAUGGCCAAAUCUGAAUUAGAAAUGAGAAGGUGGAUUGUUUCUUGCCUACAUGAGACUAAUUAUUCCCCAGAGUACAAUCUGUAUUACUUAAUGUACAAUGGUCUAUACUGCUUCUGAAGACCAUGAAUCAUGAAGAAUACCAAAAGAAAAAGGUAGAGAGACCAGCUGUGUUUUUCCCUAUAUCUCCUCUCUGCGUGCAGAAAGUCCUGAAUUCUGGCAGAUGAUCUAUCCUAAAAGCCAUUAACUUUGAAGUUUACAAUGCAGGUUAUGUAGUAGAGAGACCUGGAUUCUGAUCUUAACACAACUUAAUUUUCUGCCUAUGCAGCCUGAAAGAUUGUUUAAUCUCUUUUUCCCUAGUUUCCUUGUAUCUAAUAAUAGUACCCAUCUCACAGGUUUUGAAACUUGAAGAAACUGAUAUUUAAUAACAACGACAGUAUGUAAUCCUUAUAAUGCCUAUUUAUUCAGCAAUGACUAUGUGAUAAGUAAUGUUCUCAAUGCUUUAAAUUAUUUAAUCUUUUCGACAACCCUUUGAAUGACAUACUCUUUCUCUCUGCUUUUUACAUAGAAGGAAAUAACUGUAGAAAGAUUAUAAAGUUAUCUGACCAAAGUCAUAAACUAGUAAAUUGUCACAUGAGUACGAAAAUACAAAGAGUUUCAUCUCAGGACAUAUCUUCCUAAUCAUUACUAGAUGCAUACAAAAUAUUUAGGAUAGAAACUAGCACAUAGCACUAGCAUAAGUGUUAUUGAAUGUUAACAAAUAUAAAUAAAUAAAUCCCCCCAAAUUUCAGAAACUAUUCCAAACUUUAGAUUUAAAGAAAAAUAGUUUCACACCUAUCAUUAAAACAGUUUCUUAUGUCUGUAGAUUUAGAAUCCUACAGAAAAGUCCGGGGGCUCUUUCCUUUCACUGCUUACCAUGAGGGUCAAUUUGUAAGUCAGUUUCUUUGAUAUUCUUAACCACCCCCAUCCACCAUCCACCUCUUCCUUCUUGACUCUCUUCUCCCCUAAAUAUCUACUUUCUUUCUAAUCUUUGCCUUUCAGAGUUCAGAUAAUUUUUGAUAAAGUGCUGGGGACAUCGGUUUAUUUUUGCCCCCAAAAUUUAUU